UACGGAGGAUCCAAGCGUUAUCCGGAUUUAUUGGGUUUAAAGGGAGCGUAGGCGGUCUUAUAAGUCAGUGGUGAAAUCUUGUCGCUUAACGACAAACGUGCCAUUGAUACUGUAGGACUUGAGUACAGAUGCCGUUGGCGGAAUGUGUCAUGUAGCGGUGAAAUGCGUAGAUAUCGUAAGGAAGACCAGUGGCGAAGGCGGGUCUCUGGACAGUUCCUGACGCUGAGGGCACGA
RNAcentral lists this ribosomal RNA (234 nucleotides) under uncultured bacterium. RNAcentral's name for it is "partial 16S ribosomal RNA". It matches the Rfam family "Bacterial small subunit ribosomal RNA", at positions 524 to 756 of the family's 1533-position model. The record is from RNAcentral.